GACGAACCGUGCGAACGUUGUUCGGAUUCACUGGGCUUAAAGGGCGCGUAGGCGGACGGUCAAGUCAGGGGUGAAAUCUUUCAGCUCAACUGGAAAAGUGCCUCUGAUACUGAUCGUCUCGAGGGAGGUAGGGGCAUGUGGAACUUCCGGUGGAGCGGUGAAAUGCGUAGAUAUCGGAAGGAACGCCGGUGGCGAAAGCGACGUGCUGGACCUCUUCUGACGCUGAGGCGCGAAAGCCAGGGAGCGAACGGG
Molecule: ribosomal RNA, 252 nt
Filed under: uncultured bacterium
Lineage: Bacteria
Description: partial 16S ribosomal RNA
Rfam family: Bacterial small subunit ribosomal RNA
Source: RNAcentral